Long non-coding RNA from Bubalus bubalis (water buffalo), 4979 nucleotides. RefSeq lists it as uncharacterized. The transcript is spliced from 3 exons. The record is from RefSeq and is a predicted model, not a curated record. Lineage: Eukaryota; Metazoa; Chordata; Mammalia; Artiodactyla; Bovidae.
CCAGGCAAGAACACUGGAAUGGGUUGCCAUUUCCUUCUCCAAUGCAUGAAAGUGAAAAGUGAAAGUGAAGUCGCUCAGUCGUGUCCCUAGGGCCUGUCUUAAAGACACACAAAGACUUCAUUCUUUUAUCUAUUUUGUUUUGACCACACUGCAAGGCAUGUGGGAUCUCAGUCCCUGGCCAGGGGUCGAACCUGCGCCCCUUGAAAGCUCAGAGUCUUAACCUCUGGACUGCCAGGGAGAUCCCUCAUUCAUUUAUUUUUGAAGUCCACCUUUGAGAUGUCAUUACCAUGUGGAGAGAAGUGGGAGGUUCUGUUUCUACAGUCAAGUCUGGGAUGGACAGUGUCUGGCACGUUGCGAGAGUCUAAGAAUGUAUUAUUAAUGCUUAUUUUGGACCUUCAUUCUGUCUUUGCCCAGAUUUUAUUGGGGCAAGCUAAGAUUUUGAGAGUUUGUGUCUUGCUCAAGGUCACGCAGUCAAGAAGGGGUGAAGGCAGGAUUUGAACCCAGGUCUGUUUCCAGCAGCAGAACUUGCUUUAGGUUCUUUGAAAUCAGCCAUUUGCUUCUGCCAUGGGUGAAUCUGAGUCCAGUUCUCAGGGCUCAGCUCAUGGCGAAUAUAACUUUGAUUGAUCAACAUUCCACCACUUUCCUGCCAACUGCUCUGAAACCAGGGCCUGCGGGGUCCACAAAGAAGAAAAUCCCUCUCACAGCUCAGCUCAUCAUUGACAGCUGUUCUCAGAGCAGCACCUCCUAACUCUGGGGGCCCAGAUGGGACACCAGGGUAGGGAGGGAAAUGGAUUCCCUAGCGACAGGUUGAGGGCAGGGGAACCAGCACCCCCUUCAGCCUCUGCCUCAAGGUGGGUCUGAGCUCUAAGGCUCUUCUGCUCCCUGGGGCCAGCUGAGGAGUGGUCAGUCCCAUCUGCAUGGCCCCAUUCUUUGGGUCCUCCUGUCUGGGGCCCAUGUUCACUUGGUCUCACCUCCUUGGGAAUGGAGAGGUGGGCUAGUGGAGAGGGCUAAGCAGUUGUCUAGCUUAAUAAAAACCCUUGAUCUUUUUUGGGGUGGCCUGGAGGGGGCGAGUUGCUGCAGCUGUUGUAAGGACACACUUGCUGAAGGAGGUAAUGCAACAGCUGAGCUAUUUGGUGCUCCUGGGAGCAGUGAAGAUGGGAGGGUACACAGUAGGAAUUCAAAGAUAUUUAUCGAAUGGGUGGGUCUCACACAAGGCUUCUGUUCCGAUGGUCAAUGGCUCAGAGCAGGGGACUGCGGACCGUCCAGGGCAUCGAGUAUGUGUAUGUAUACAUGUGUGUAUGAAUAUCCGUGUGUGCAUCUGUGCAUGAGGGUGGGUCCAAGUGAGACAAGGCUUCUUGGGAUGAAGGGCUGGCCUUAUUGGUGGGGCACCUGAGAAAGGCUGGGGCACUCACUUUUCCCCCUAAAGCUGGAAGAUUACAUCUGGCCCUGAAUCACUGCUCUCUGGAGGAAGUUAAUUCAUGCCUAAAUAGUUACUGAGAGAGUGCUGGGACAGUGUAGAGCAGGUCACAAAACCUAUCUGGACUUGGGCUCCUGUCAAACCCCAGGGGGUGUCACUGGAGCCGCGAACACCUUGGAAUGCCACUUAGGCCUGGGGACACCUUUCACUGGGUUCAGGAGGGAAGACAUGCCAGGAAGUUCCUAGUCAGCUUUGGGACUUGCCUGGUGGGCUCUCAGGGACCGAUUUGGGGAAGAGGAUGCAGAGGCAAAAAGGUUAAUUGAAGGUUUGUGUUGGGAGAAGGAGGAUUUGGAAUUGACGUAUUCAUUCCUUUCUUCAUUGGCCAGAGAGCUGUUUCUAGAACCUUACCCUGGAAUCCCUGCAAAUGGAUUAGGGGGAACUAGUUGUGAUCCUGCCCUCAGGAGGCCACAACUCAGAGAGAAGCAGAGGAGAUAAACAGACCAGAUGAUGCAGAGUGAUAAGUCUGUGAUAGGAAGGAAGGGGCUGGAGGAGGGCAGGGGAGGGUCCCCAAAGCUGGCCUGGAGAAGGCUUCCUGCAGGAAGCUGAGACUGGGAAGCCAAGGACGGGGAGGGGUCUUUUAGCAGAGAGAACAGCCUGAGGCUCAGCACAGUGUCUGGUAUGCAGUAGGCACUCAAUAAACAUUUGUGAAAUCAAUCAAUCAGUAAGUGCAAGUAUGCAGAAGACACUGUUAAAAUUGGAAGGGUCCUAGGCAUCGGGCUGCCCCCAUCCAUAAUUUCAGAUAGGUAAACUGAGGUCCGAGGACUUCCCAGGUGGCUCAAUGGUAAAGAAUUUGCCUGCCAAUACAGAAUUUGCCUGCUAAUUUGUUCAAUUCCUGGGUUGGGAAGAUCCCCUGGAGCAAGAGAUGGCAACUCACUGCUGUAUUCUGACCUAAAAAUCCCAUGGACAGAGGAGCCUGGCAAGGUAGCAGAGAAUCGGACAUGACUGAGCGACUGAGCACACACUCACACAAACUGAGGUCCAGAGAGGAGGAAGGAUGCUCUGAGUAUGUCCCCCAGGGAUGGAACUGGAACCCAGGCGUCCCAUCUCCCAGUCAAGCCUCUGGCUUCCCCAGCUCGCUGUCUCCAAGGCUUGGAGUGGGGGUGACUCCAUGGGGACAGAGAUCGACACUGUGGGCAGUGGCAGAGAAAGCGUGGGGCACGGUUGAACGCAGGGGUCACUGUUGAGUCCUCUCUGAGGCUCAGAGUCCAUGGUGCUUGGAUGAGGGAGCCUGUUGCUACACCCCGCAAAAUUUGUUCUGUGGCUAAUGGGCACUGGGGAGCUUGGCUGGGGUCCCAGAGCUGGGGAACACCCCUCCUGCCCUGAAGACCCAGCAUCCUGUCACCGUCCCACAUACAGGUUAAUGACCCGUCUGUGUUUGCCCAGUAUGGUCCAGGGCAACAGGCUCAGUGCCCAGGAAGACAUCAUGGCUCCUGGCUUCAAGGUCUUAAAUGUAAUGUGGAAGGUUGACAGCAGCUUGGUUUUUUGGAGCUCUUGUUCUCUGCCAGCCACUGCCUCCCGUGCUGGUCUCCUUGAAGCUCCACAGCAACCUUUGAGGCAGGUUUGGUUAUCAUCUGCAUUUGAUGGAUGAAGCAUGUGAGGCUCAGAGGGCUUGGGUGACUUGACUGGGAUCCUCCAGCAAGGGAGGAAAAGCGACUCUGAUCCCAGGACUCUGGGGAGGUGGGGGGCACCAGAAGCAGCAGGGGAGGAGUGGAGACCCCCGCUGUGAGUUUUGGAUUCGUUGGCUUUUGAACGAAUUUUGUCCUUACCGAUGGAAUGUGCAUGCAGAGUUGGUGUGAUCUCUCACCUGGAGGCCUCUGCCCGAGCACCUGGCACAGGUUGGGUGCCCGAUUGUUCGUUCACUCACCCACUUAUUCAUUCACUCACUCAACCAUGCACUGAGAUAGUGAACGACAGGGAAGCCUGGCCUGCUGCAGUCUACGGGGCCGCAAAGAGUUGGACACGACUUAGUGACUGAAUGGCGACAGGUACCGGCCAAUGAGCAGGCACCAUGCUAAAGGAACACUAGACAGCUCUGUCUGCCCAGAGCAGGGCUGAGAGGAUCCUUUUAAUCUCCUUGGCCAACUCUGAUUGAUUCGUAGUGUCUGCCUGGAACCCUGGGUUGGAAGGGAUUUGGCGGGUGCCCCAGUUGAUUAGUGAUGUCUGCCAAGGGCUCAGCUGGGAGCCUUUAUGGCAAGCCUGCUGGGUAGCUGCCCCUGGGAUGAGGAUGGAGUGUCUGCUCCAUGCUUUGGACAUCUGGGUUGGUUAAGCAGACAGAAGGGGUCUGGAGAUUGGGAGAAACGGGUUCUAGCCCCAGAUUGGUCCUGUAACCCUCAGGAAAUACACAUCAGCCUUUUUGGGCCUCAGUUUCCUCAUUUGUCACCUUCCUCCAGAGGUACUGUGAGCAUAAAAUGACAGGAAAGUGUUUGAAGAGUUGAGGAGACUGGUAAUGAAAGGAAAUGGGAAACUGCUCCCCUCCCUCUUUUCUUCUUUCUCAAAAUCUUGCCAGAAAUGGAACAUGCUGGGCAGGGUAGAGUUAAUCCCGGACGGUCCUGUGUGUGUGUGUGUGUGUGUGUGUGUGUGUGUGUGUACUGGUGGGUGGGGGCCCCUCAGCGGUUCCUGGCUCAGAGUUGUUUUUAUAACUCACUUAGUACAGACCUUUGUCCCCUCCCUGGCCUCAGCUGGGAGUUUCUAAGGAGUAAGAAGCUCCUUGGAUCUUAGGAACUGAAUCUUAGAAUUUUUGUUUGUUUGUUUUCAUUUCACUGGUGGGAGCUGGUGUGCGUGCCACCUGCCUCCUCCACAUCCCCACUCAGAGAUUAAAACUAGACCAUUGUGCCAGGCGCAGAACUCUGUUUAACAUGGAUUUUCCCCAUUAAUCCUCAAAACAGUCUCAUGAAGUGGGUAGCAGAGUAAUCCCCAUUUCACAGUUGAGGAAACUGAGGCCCAGAGAACUGAAACUUGGAGGCCACACACCUCCAGGCUGCUGCCGGUUUGUGGGUGCCAGGCCCUGAUCCGAGCUAGAGAAAGACUGUCUCAUCCGUCAUGACUGACUGUGCCUUGUCCCGGCUCUUCUGUCCAUUCAUCCAUUUACUCCUUUAUUCACUUUGUAUUUUUGUUCUUUCACAAAUGUUAAGUUCCCACUGUGAGCCAGGCUCUGCAUCAACUCCUAGAACUACAACAACCCCACUCUCGAGGACCUUACUUACAUUCUAGACCAGAUGGGAAACAAGCAAAAGAGGAGGAGGCUGAGGCUCAGAGAGGUGAAUUGACUGCAAUCUAGACUGGCGUGCCUCCGGAGCUGGUUCUUUUAACCUUGACACCUGGAUAUGCAGGUGGCCGGAAGAAGGUGACCUCCAGGACUCUGAGAUCUGAGGAUGGUGACUGUCCUUGGGAACUUGUGAACCUCUGAUGCAGGGCUGGUUCAUCUCUGCGGCCUGAUUUCACCGUGUCGGGCUUCCCUGGUGGCUCAAUGGUAAAGAAUCUGCCUGCAGGAGACAUGAGUUUG